CCUACGGGAGGCAGCAGUGGGGAAUAUUGGGCAAUGGACGAAAGUCUGAACCAGCCAAGUAGCGUGAAGGAUGACUGCCCUCUGGGUUGUAAACUUCUUUUAUAAAGGAAUAAAACGAGGCACGUGUGCCUUUUUGCAUGUACUUUAUGAAUAAGGAUCGGCUAACUCCGUGCCAGCAGCCGCGGUAAUACGGAGGAUCCGAGCGUUAUCCGGAUUUAUUGGGUUUAAAGGGAGCGUAGAGGGGUUGUUAAGUCAGUUGUGAAAGUUUGCGGCUCAACCGUAAAAGUGCAAUUGAUACUGGCAGUCUUGAGUACAGGUGAGGUAGGCGGAAUUCGUGGUGUAGCGGUGAAAUGCGUAGAUAUCACGAAGAACCCCGAUGGCGAAGGCAGCUUACUAGACUGUGACUGACAUUGAGGCUCGAAAGUGUGGGGAGCAAACAGGAUUAGAUACCCCAGUAGUC
Molecule: ribosomal RNA, 460 nt
Filed under: uncultured bacterium
Lineage: Bacteria
Description: partial 16S ribosomal RNA
Rfam family: Bacterial small subunit ribosomal RNA
Source: RNAcentral